UUGACGGGGCCGCACAAGCAGUGGAGCAUGUGGUUUAAUUCGAAGCAACGCGAGGAACCUUACCAGGUCUUGACAUCCCCUGACAACCCGAGAGAUCGGGCGUUCCCCUUCGGGGGACAGGGUGACAGGUGGUGCAUGGUUGUCGUCAGCUCGUGUCGUGAGAUGUUGGGUUAAGUCCCGCAACGAGCGCAACCCUCGACCUUAGUUGCCAGCAUUCAGUUGGGCACUCUAAGGUGACUGCCGGCUAAAAGUCGGAGGAAGGUGGGGAUGACGUCAAAUCAUCAUGCCCCUUAUGACCUGGGCUACACACGUGCUACAAUGGGCGGUACAAAGGGUCGCGAACCCGCGAGGGGGAGCCAAUCCCAAAAAGCCGCUCUCAGUUCGGAUUGCAGGCUGCAACUCGCCUGCAUGAAGCCGGAAUCGCUAGUAAUCGCGGAUCAGCAUGCCGCGGUGAAUACGUUCCCGGGCCUU
RNAcentral lists this ribosomal RNA (471 nucleotides) under uncultured Anoxybacillus sp. RNAcentral describes it as "bacterial SSU rRNA". It matches the Rfam family "Bacterial small subunit ribosomal RNA", at positions 910 to 1382 of the family's 1533-position model. The record is from RNAcentral. Lineage: Bacteria; Bacillati; Bacillota; Bacilli; Caryophanales; Anoxybacillaceae.